CCUGCAAUUCUUUUGUCCUUUCAUUCGUCAAGUGACUAGGGUACCUUUCAUUUUCCAUUCGGUAUUUCAUUCGUUCUUACUUCCUUUUGUCUUCUAUUCACCAUUCUCCAUUCUCCAUCCUCCAUUUUCCAUUCCGUCAGUAUUUUUUUUGGUCUCUUUGUUGAACUUCCUUAUUCUUUAUUUUCAUAACUUACAAGACACCGACGUUCACCCCAUCAGCUUACAAGUCACCGUCGUUAACUGCAUCACCUUACUAAUCGUUCGUUUACAGGUUUUCGGUCACCCCAUUAGCUUUUAAUUUCAUUCGUCGUUCAUCUCUCAAAAUCCCUAUUGGGUAUCCUUCACUCAUGUAAAUGGCUGUUUUUUUUAGAAAUUAAGGUAGAGUUUCUAUGUUUCUGUUAUGGUGGAAUAGAGAUAUUUAUGUGUUUCUUUGUUUCCUUCACUCUAGUAAAUGUUUCUGUGUUUAUGAUUGUUAAUAAUUGGAGAGCUCUUCUUAUUUAGUUUUGUGGGAGGGAGUUCCCUCUAGCACCGUUCUUAAGCUAUUCUUUUGGCUAUUCUGAUGAAUAUAUUACCUUUGUUUUUUAUAGAAAAAAAGAUAUGAAAUAAUUGCUCUGUGUUAGAAGGCCACCUUUUUUCUUUGUGUAUGCUUACAAGCAGAAUGAGAAUCAUAAGGCUUAAUUUAGUAAUUUUUGUUAUGGUGAUAAAAUAACUACAUGAACUUGUUUAGUUUUCUUUAUCAUAGUUAUGUGCACAUGAACUGGUCUAUGAUUAGUUUUCUUUUGAGAGAAGAUUUAGAGAGAACCUGAAGAAGAAGAAAAGAUUUCUUAGUUUUAAGGUUGAAGAAGAAAGGGAAAAACUCAAAGGAAGCUUCCAUCAUGGCAGAUUUUCACCCACUCUACACACUUCUAAUUUUUUAUUCGGUUUGAUCUUUUCAAGAAGAACUAAGAGAGAAGGAAGAGCAGGUGUUUUCCAUGCGAAAUCAAAUAUCCUCUGGCUUUUUGAGUUUUCCGAUGUGUAUACAUUGGGUUAAAACCUCUAAUUGAUAUGGUUGAAAAUCUUAUUCAAUUUCCUCUAUAACUUUCAUGAAGAUACCGAGAACCAAUUAUGAUGGGAAAUGUGUUAAUUUAUAGGGACAAGUUGAAGGUCUGUAGAGUGCGUGAUUUUAGAAUAGUUUUAUUUCGUGGUGUUUCUGAGAUUUUUGACUGGGAAUUUGGAUUACAUAUCUUCACGUAAAUUCUAGAGGACAUCAAAAUGAAGAUUUUGACAUAAAGAACACUCAUUUGGAUUAAGUAGUGAGGGAAUUAUGGUCAUUUGAAGUUUGUAUUAGAAAUAUGAAAAAUACAGAGAGUUGUUCAAAUAGGAUUUUGUUUCUUAAGCUUGGUUUUCGUGAGUGUCAUCUUUAGUGCGACGUUAAGUCUAUUUUUUGAAAAUCAUAAUAUUUAGGGUUCUAAUACUCGGUUUGGUUGUUGACAGUCUAAGAAGAAUUAAAUCGAGCUUACAGAUCAUGGAUCUAGCUCAGACAGCGAGUGACAAAAUAGAUUUUCUAAAUUGUUAUUUUUACCUAUAUUUCUAUGAAUAGUACAUGAUUUCUAUGAACAGUUUCUAAACUGUUAUGUAUGAUUAUAUUUCUAUAGAUAGUACAUGAUUUCUAUGAAUGGCUUCGAGCAUAAGUUCAAGCGGAAAGUUUUAUGAUUAAAUUUAUAUAUGAGCACGUUAUUAUCGAAUUUUUGAAAAGUAGCUAAAACCAAAUCAUUUUAAGCAAGUAUUGUUUUUAUAUUUUUUUCAGUUUUCCACGAACAAUAUAAGUAUGCUUGAGCUUUACGAAAGAUAAAGAUAAUAGGCAUGUUUUAAUGUUUUCUGAUGUUUAUGUUAACUACAUGACAAAGACGUUGAGCCCGAGGCUAUAUGGUAUCGUGUGCACACGGUUUAGAUUCCAUUGUUGGCAUUGAGUGUACUCUGUAACAACAAUGCUGUUGUGAGUGCUAGGCUGGCCCCACUAUGACAAAGACGAUGGGAGUGUUGGGCGGGCCCCACUGCAUCGUAGAACUUGUAAAUAUUGGUGGUAUUGGGCGUGUCCUACCACAACGUAGAUUUUUCAUGUUAGUUAAAAUGUUUUGAUAUACUUGAUAUGCCUUGCUAGAUUUCAAUGACGUACAUGCUGAGUAUUUGAGAAAGCUAUUCUUACUAUUAUACAUUUAUAUUUACGACUCGUAUAAACAGAUUUAUAUGUGUAAAGCUUUCAUGUGCUCUUAUCUUUAAAUUCAUAGUUUUAAAUUGAGUCACUCACUAAGCUUUAUAGCUUACCCUUCCAAAAUGUUUUACCUAUUUUCCAGGUAGAGAUCGAGUUCCCGAUGCUUGAUAGACUGCCUUAAUCUACUGAAGCUCUAAUAUCGAUUGCAGUACAUGGUUAGAGUUGUAUACAAAGUCAGUUGUGUUAUGAUGUAUAUGUCUUUGUAUGAUAUAGAUACUCUAUAGUUUGUGGAAGUUGUAGGAGUUGCGGUUGUAUAAAUCUUUGUUGGUUAUGUUUUGGUUAAGGUGUCUCUAGUAAGUUUACUUUCGAAAUCAGUUAUUUCCGAGCUACACUUCAUGUAUGUAUAUGAUUAGUCUAGGUUCCACUUUGUUGUGUUCCAUGUAUAAUAGUUUAUAUACUAGAUUAGCAAGUUUAUCAAUUCAAGAAUUUAGUAGAGUCGAUAGAUAUCGUUAGAGGAAAGAAAUAUCAGUCGGCUUCACGUCGUCUUUCGGUCUAAGCUAGCAGGUAGUCUGGGAGGGGGUGUGACAAUUUAAUUUCAUUUCCUUAGGAUGACUUCAUUCUUUGUAGACAAAACUUCAAAAUAAAGUUGUUCUAGUUUAGUGUUAGAAAAGAGAAAACUGGUUAAAUCACCAUCAUCGAUAUGAGAACAUUUAUGGAAGUAGAAGGAUGUGAUCCUAAGUAUCCUAGGGCUGCUUGUAAACACUGUAGGGCUUCAUAUGCUUUUGAUUCCAAAAGAAGUGGUACAACUAAUCUAAAAAGACAUUUAGAGAAAUGUAAGAAGUAUACAAAUCCAUUGGAAGAUAACGUUGAAGGAGAGGGAGAUUCUAAAAGUAGUUUGAUGGCUACAUCCUUCAUUUCAGAAAAGUGUAAGACAAUGCUUGCUACUAUAGUUAUCUUGGAUGAAUUGUCAUUUAAGUUUAUAGAAAGUGAAGGGUUCAUCAAUUUUUUCAAGCAUUAAAUCUAAAGUCUGUGAUUCCAUCGAGAGUAACUGUUGCAAAGGAUUGUUUUCAAAUAUAUACGAGGGAAAAAAAGAAAAAGAGUUAACAAGUGCAUUUAUUUGAAGUGGCCAAAGAUUUUGUUUAACAAUUGAUACAUGGACUUCUUUGCAGAAUAUUAGUUAACCGACGACGACGACGUCUCUCCUGAUAAGUAACACUUUCUAUUUCUCAGUUUUCUCUAUUUCUUUGUUAAGAUAGUGAUAGUGUCGGUGUUUUCAUUGUUUCUUUAGCUUAAUACCCCAAUAAAGUGUUGUUUACGAGUCAAAAUCAUAUUGUGGACACAAGUUUUGGGUUUAGGCUUUUAUAAAUAACCUCUCCUUUUCCUUUUCCUUUUUCCUCACUAAUCUUAAACACAAUAAUUGGAUUGCUUGUCAUUUCUAUAUGUACAUAUGUAUUAAAAUAAAAAAUAAUCAAUAGUUGUUGGUAUAUCAAAUCGAAUCUGAACAAUGAGAGGAGAAAGUCUGGGUUUCUUUAAAUAUCUAGAUUAAAGAUGCAGAGGAGGCCACAUAGCAGAAGGGUUCACUGGAUUUGAUCAAUUUAACAGAACAACUUUCGAUGUUUUUUAUAUGUUUACCAAUUGAGAAUGACAAAACACCUUUGAAUUUCCCAUUUUUGUUGGUCUAACAAGAGUGCUUUACACACACAGAAGAGAUAAUGAGUCCCUUAUAUCUACAUACAUUUAUUCUUUUUUCUUAACUCUUUAUAUUCUCCCUCAGGUUACCGAGUGAAGUAUGUAGGGCCUUCUAUGAAUGAUGAAACUGAUAAGAGGUGGCUUUCUAACUUUGUUUUUUACACCAUUAUAUGAUUUGAAUACAAAGCAUAUCAUUAUUUCUUAUUCAGAUGGUGGAACUGUGAGAUGUAUUUUACAUUCAUGGACCUUCUAACUUCUCUUAUGAAGAUUUAGAAGAAAUUUUUAGGGGGAUUUUGUUUAUUGCUCAAGCAGAGAGCAGAGUGAAGUUCGGAUUAGGCUCUAGUGCUUUUGAUUGUUGUGACGUUUCCAUCAAUGAGUUUUGUUAUUUAUCCUUCCUUUUCUUUUUUAGUUCAACCAAAUUAUAAGAGACGCCUGUUAUUAUCUCUCUAGUUUUUACCGUUUGGCUUCAACAUUCUUUCCUGUAUCUACACCAACAUUUCUCGUUAAGUAGUAAAAGAUUGUUUAUUUUUGUAUUAUGUGAAA
Long non-coding RNA from Cucumis melo (muskmelon), 4423 nucleotides. RefSeq lists it as uncharacterized. The transcript has 2 exons. NCBI's taxonomy places the organism in Eukaryota, Viridiplantae, Streptophyta, Magnoliopsida, Cucurbitales, Cucurbitaceae. The record is from RefSeq and is a predicted model, not a curated record.